UCCAAUUUCAAAGAAGAAAAAUUUGCUUUUCUUUCUCCCAUCAAAGCCAAGCCAAAACCUUACCAAAACAACUUCUUCCUUUAACCAAAAUUCAUCCUAAGAUCAAGAGCUAAAGGAACAGCCAUAUAGUGAAAGAAUUGAAGAAGAAAAGUUUAGGGUUCCAUAUGCACCAAGCUUGAAAAUCAAAGGUGAGCUUAGAAAUGAGUAGGAAAUAGCAUCAUCUCAUUUCUUUAUGCAUGAAUUUGAAUUAUAAAGCUUUAAUUUAUAGUUUAUUCAUUCCUUUCCUAAGACAUAAAUUGACAUAGGUGAAGGAACAUCAAAGGGAAAGGAGAUAGCUAGAGAUUAGAAGAGGAAAAGAAAAGAAGAAUUCAAGAAAGGUU
This 380-nucleotide long non-coding RNA is filed under the name Manihot esculenta (cassava). RNAcentral's name for it is "long non-coding RNA (MESC_LNC012745)". The record is from RNAcentral. Lineage: Eukaryota; Viridiplantae; Streptophyta; Magnoliopsida; Malpighiales; Euphorbiaceae.